This 502-nucleotide ribosomal RNA is filed under the name uncultured bacterium. RNAcentral describes it as "partial 16S ribosomal RNA". It matches the Rfam family "Bacterial small subunit ribosomal RNA", at positions 28 to 507 of the family's 1533-position model. The record is from RNAcentral.
GACGAACGCUGGCGGCGUGCCUAAUACAUGCAAGUCGAACGAACCGCGACUAGGUGCUUGCACUUGGUCAAGGUGAGUGGCGAACGGGUGAGUAACACGUGGGUAACCUACCUCAUAGUGGGGGAUAACAGUCGGAAACGACUGCUAAUACCGCAUAGGACAUAGGAUCACAUGAUCCAGUGAGGAAAGGUGGCGCAAGCUAUCGCUAAGAGAUGGACCCGCGGUGCAUUAGCUAGUUGGUAGGGUAAAGGCCUACCAAGGCGAUGAUGCAUAGCCGACCUGAGAGGGUGAUCGGCCACAUUGGGACUGAGACACGGCCCAAACUCCUACGGGAGGCAGCAGUAGGGAAUCUUCCGCAAUGGACGCAAGUCUGACGGAGCAACGCCGCGUGAGUGAAGAAGGUCUUCGGAUCGUAAAGCUCUGUUGUCAGAGAAGAACAGCGCAUAGAGUAACUGUUAUGCGUGUGACGGUAGCUAACCAGAAAGCCACGGCUAACUACGUG